GUGAGGAAUAUUGGACAAUGGGCGCAAGCCUGAUCCAGCCAUGCCGCGUGCAGGAAGACGCAUCUAUGGUGUGUAAACUGCUUUUGUACGGGAAGAAACACUCCCUCGUGAGGGAGCUUGACGGUACCGUAAGAAUAAGGAUCGGCUAACUCCGUGCCAGCAGCCGCGGUAAUACGGAGGAUCCAAGCGUUAUCCGGAAUCAUUGGGUUUAAAGGGUCCGUAGGCGGUUUAAUAAGUCAGUGGUGAAAGCCCAUCGCUCAACGAUGGAACGGCCAUUGAUACUGUUAGACUUGAAUUACAAGGAAGUAACUAGAAUAUGUAGUGUAGCGGUGAAAUGCUUAGAUAUUACAUGGAAUACCAAUUGCGAAGGCAGGUUACUACUUGUGGAUUGACGCUGAUGGACGAAAGCGUGGGGAGCGAACAGGAUUAGAUACCCUUGUAGUCC
This 445-nucleotide ribosomal RNA is filed under the name uncultured bacterium. Its description in RNAcentral is "partial 16S ribosomal RNA". It matches the Rfam family "Bacterial small subunit ribosomal RNA", at positions 354 to 796 of the family's 1533-position model. The record is from RNAcentral.